This 424-nucleotide ribosomal RNA is filed under the name uncultured bacterium. RNAcentral describes it as "bacterial SSU rRNA". It matches the Rfam family "Bacterial small subunit ribosomal RNA", at positions 28 to 409 of the family's 1533-position model. The record is from RNAcentral.
GACGAACGCUGGCGGCGUGCCUAACACAUGCAAGUCGAACGGAGUUAACUUUUCAGAUCCCUUCGGGGUGAAGAGUUGUUAACUUAGUGGCGGACGGGUGAGUAACGCGUGAGCAACCUGCCUUACAGAGGGGGACAACAGUUGGAAACGACUGCUAAUACCGCAUAACGUGCUUUUGGGACAUCCCUGGAGCACCAAAGGAGCAAUCCGCUGUAAGAUGGGCUCGCGUCCGAUCGAGGAGGAGCCCGCGGCGGAUUAGCUUGUUGGUGAGGUAAUGGCUCACCAAGGCUCCGAUCCGUAGCUGGUCUGAGAGGACGAUCAGCCACACUGGGACUGAGACACGGCCCAGACUCCUACGGGAGGCAGCAGUGGGGAAUCUUGCGCAAUGGGCGAAAGCCUGACGCAGCGACGCCGCGUGCGGGAG